GUGCUCCCUUCAGCAGCACAUAUACUAAAAUUGGAAUGAUACAGAGCAGAUUAGCACGGCCCCUGCGCAAGGAUGACACACUCAAGGUAUCCUCUGAGAAAAAAUAA
Molecule: small nuclear RNA, 107 nt
Filed under: Octodon degus (degu)
Lineage: Eukaryota; Metazoa; Chordata; Mammalia; Rodentia; Octodontidae
Source: RNAcentral